This 316-nucleotide ribosomal RNA is filed under the name Leptospiraceae bacterium. RNAcentral describes it as "bacterial SSU rRNA". It matches the Rfam family "Bacterial small subunit ribosomal RNA", at positions 1 to 307 of the family's 1533-position model. The record is from RNAcentral. Lineage: Bacteria; Pseudomonadati; Spirochaetota; Leptospiria; Leptospirales; Leptospiraceae.
AUCACGGAGAGUUUGAUCCUGGCUCAGAACUAACGCUGGCGGCGCGUCUUAAACAUGCAAGUCGAACGGCAGCAGGAGGUGCUUGCACCUUGCUGGCGAGUGGCAAACGGGUGAGUAACACGUAGGUAAUUUACCUUUUGGUGGGGGACAACCUCGGGAAAUCGGGGCUAAUACCGCAUAUGUUGCAUUGUCUGCGGGCAGUGCUAUAAAAGCCUUCGGGCGCCAUUAGAUGAGCCUGCGGCCUAUUAAAUGGUUAGUUGGUAAGGUAAUGGCUUACCAAGACCGCGAUGGGUAGCCGGCCUGAGAGGGUGAUCGG